GAGCCGAUUGUUCUCUGGGAAAAAAAAAUUUUUUUAAAUUACUUGAACUGUUAAGAAAAUGACAAAAAAGGGAAAACAUCAUUUUCAAAUUUAAAAAAAAUUACUGAACUGUUAAGAAAAUGACACAAAAAAAGGGGAAAUAUCAUUUUCUGCAAAUCUAUGCAGCCCCAAGGUGGAGCAGCUGGGGAGCCUGUGCUGUCUGCAUCUCUGCAGUGCAGUUCCUGGAGGGGCACAGCGUGUCUACACCGUCUAUCCUGGCUCUUGAUAGGAGGGGGAGGUUUGGGUGUGGAGGACGGUGCACUGGGCAGGUGCACUUGGUGUGCCAGGACUGGCUGGGAAACUCCUUUCAAUCUUCAGUUCCCAAGGCGCCUGUGCCCACCUCUUAUACACAUUAAACUAGACGGGGGUGGGUCCUAGUCCUCGCUGUGUGACCGGACAACAGUCAGUCACUUAACUCCUCUGAGCCUUAUGGGUAAAUGGAGGUAACCAACAGGAUUUACAUACACACAAAGAUCAAGGUAGCAUCAUAGAUGUGCAUUCCAUGAAGUGAGAGAUUAGUAGUGACUUGGUGACAUCCAAGUUGGCACCUGUGUUAGACAGGGAGGUGCGCCAUGUGGAGGGACUGUCACUGAGGUGUCAUGGGAAGAAGCGGGCAAAAAGGAGAAACGUGAGCCCUUUUUUAAGCCCCACUAAAAAAUGUUAGCACACGGAGAACUAUUCCAGCUGGGCAUUGGACCUCUCACCCACUUCGUGGAGGAGAACUAGCCUUUAUGCAGAACUGGCUGCAUGCCAGAUACCUCUGCUGUUAGAUCAUGUCAUCCUGCCCCCAACACUCCCAACGUCACCAUCCCUCUCUCCAUCCCCACAGUGGCUGUACAUCGAUGUCCAGGGCUUUGGAGAACUGAGAUCCAUUUCUCAGUGCUUCCCCCAUCCUUAUCUUUCCUCAGGCGGUACCUCUAGAUCCCCUUUGCUACAUGCCCUCAGUAGUUCCUGCUGGGAAAUGGUACGCAUGGAGGGAUGCCCUGCCUAGUUUUUAAUGUCAGGUUAACACUAGCUAGAGUCAUUCGAGAAAUGGGAACCUCAGUUGAGAAGAUACACCCACCACAUUGGCAUGUGGGAAAUGCCUGUGGGGCAUUUUCUUGAGGAAUGAUUGACGAGGAAGGGUCCAGCCCACUGUGGUGGUGCCAUCUAUGGCUCAGUGGUCCUGGAUGGUAUAACAGAGCAGGCUGAACAAACCACCAAAGGGAAGCGGCAGGGAGCAAGCCAGUAAGCAGUGCUCCUCCAUGGCCUCAACAUCAGUUCUUGUCUCCAGGUUCCUGAUUUGAGCUCUUGCUCUGACUUCCCUGGAUGAGGAACUAGAGGAUGUAAGUUUAAAUAAACGCUUUUCUCCUG
Molecule: long non-coding RNA, 1392 nt
Filed under: Mus musculus (house mouse)
Lineage: Eukaryota; Metazoa; Chordata; Mammalia; Rodentia; Muridae
Description: long non-coding RNA chr12:108329475-108330867
Source: RNAcentral